AUAUUUAGUCUAAUGAAGAGCUCAAGAAUCUCUCUAUAGAGCUUGUUAAUUGAUGAAAUAGUUUGUUAAUCUCUCUCUAUAGAGCUCAAGAAUGGAGUAAAUAGUUUGUUAAUUGAUGCUUCUGAGGGUGAUGAUGCAUUGAAGGCUUCAAAACACACAAAAAGGUCUGAGAACCAGAAUGGAAAUCAGCCGAUUAGAUCAAGACAACCAACAAUUAGUGGCCAUAGGGUCAGGGAUGCGGAUGCCACAAUUCCUGCCAGAAGAGAUUCCUCCUGUUAGGCUACCACUAAGAUUGUAAAGGAGGCAAAGGAUCUUAAACACUCUGCUGAUCGCCUUAAGAAUUCUGGAUUAAUUGUUGAAAGUACAGGUCUUUACUUCCAGGCAGCCCUUAAGUUUCUUCAUGGAGCCUCUUUAUUGGAAUCUAGCAAUGGCGAGAGUGCCAAGCAAGGCGAGAUGAUUCGGUCAAUGCAAAUGUGUAGUAGCACAGCAAAACUCUGUGAGUUUUGUGCUCAUGACUAUGAGAAAUCCAAGGACAUUGCUGCUGCUGCUCUGGCCUACAAAUGCAUGGAGGUGGCAUAUAUGAGAGUAAUUUACUACUCGCAUACCAAUGCAAGCAGAGAUCGACAUGAGUUGCAGACAGCUUUGCAAAUAGUUCCUCCUGGAGGAAAGGCCGAUGAAUAAGUACUAUAAUUUCAUUUGAAAUCAUGACUUCCAUAAGAGAAACUGAAGCAACUGGAAAUAUCAGAGCAGGAAAUUUAUUGCGCUGGACGAAAAUCUUUUGUGGUAUCUUCUUUCUAGUACAAACGUGUGAAUCUCCCUCUUCCUCUGCCUCCGACGUUGAUAACUUAAACAACCCAACAACAUUAGACAAGGUUCCCUUAACCAAGGGUGUUAGCUCUCCUCAAGUUGCUGCAAACCAUGUUAUUGCUGCAUGAAACCGCCCCAGUUUGGUGCGGCUGCUCAACUUUCUACAGGAUGUAAAUUUUGCAAUGGAAGCCUCGAGGAAAUCUCAAAUUGCUUUUGCAGCUGCGAAUACAAUAAUGGAAAAGGCUGAGCAUAGAGAAGGUAUAACUUCUAUUAAAAGGGCUCAGCACAGAGAAGAUAUAAUUUCUGUUAAAAGGGCUCUUGAUUUCAGCUUCCAAGAUGUGGACAGAUUAUUAUGUUUGGUAUGGUUGGCAAUGGAAACAAUUAGUCGUUAACUCGUAGUUGAGAUUAUGUCAAACCAAGGAAUAGUUUUGUUUCUUUGGUUUUUUUCCUUCCAGUUUUCAAUUGUUUUCCUCCAGUUUUCAAUCAUUAAGGAAGAAAAGGAAAGAGGAUGACCUGGAUCUUUCUGCACGUAAUAUCUGUUAAGAAACAGGUGUUAGCAGUUCAGUGCCUUUGUAAAUCUGUAUCAUACCAAUCAAAUUUGUAGAAUUCACACCGCCUUAGUGAGUUUUCUUAUUUUUCUUUUUCAAAUGGUUAAUGAAAUUCAUAAUUACCUAUGUUGAACUCUUGGCCGGCUGUACUAAGUUAUGUACUCAUUUUGUUUCUCUCUUUGAUUUGGUGGCUAUCGAUAGAAAUACACAAAUUGUUCCAGUGCUUCA
Camellia sinensis is the source of this 1583-nucleotide non-coding RNA. Lineage: Eukaryota; Viridiplantae; Streptophyta; Magnoliopsida; Ericales; Theaceae. The record is from RefSeq and is a predicted model, not a curated record.